This is a long non-coding RNA of Python bivittatus (Burmese python), 499 nucleotides long. RefSeq lists it as uncharacterized. Lineage: Eukaryota; Metazoa; Chordata; Lepidosauria; Squamata; Pythonidae. The record is from RefSeq and is a predicted model, not a curated record.
CAUUAUAGUGCAAACUGUUGGAAACAGAAUUGCCUUAACAAUGCAUUUUUAAGAUGCGUUAAUCUAGGCCAUAUGAAACAGAUGUACAGCAAUAACAAGAGCACGGCAGGAACAGCUGAGACCUCAAUUUUCUCUACAUUUAAAUAGUCCAUGGAACUCCAGCAGAAGUAGAACAAGGGAUCUGCUCUCAGAGGGAGCACCAAGACCUUCCAUAAAUCAUGACACUAGGAAUAGAAAUAGAGUUUACAAAUUACAGCCAUGGUCUUAAGUUCCACAUGUUCCACAUCCCAUCAUACAAAAUAAUCCUCUGUGAUGGUAAUUGGAGGCCUGAACCCACUCAGAUACCUUUUCUGUGGCGCCCUUUCCCCAUUUGUAGGAUGCCUUCUCCAGAGAGGUCUAUGUGGAGCCUAUGUUAUUAUCUUUGAGUUCUAAGCAAAUUUUAUUCUUGGAUGUCUUUUUAUUUCAAUUUUCUUCUAUUACUGUACUACAUGGUGUUGUA